GUUGCUGACUCAUCCAUUCUAGAACACCUUCAAUUGAUGCUUAUGACUAGCUCUUCACUGUUAAUUCUUCCAUCAAUUUUGCCACCUCAACUUAUAAAACUUCAAUUUUAGACCUCAACUUCUCCAUUUUGUAUCUGGAUUGGUCACUCAAUGUCGCUUUCUCUUUCAUCAAUAAUUUUGCCUUGUUUCCUUCUGCUUGCAACUAGCAUUUGAGUUUCUCGCAUUCCAAAUCGCAUGUCUUGUAAUUCUAGAUCAAUUCGUCUUAUUGUCCUUCUAUAAUUUGUAAGAUGUGUUCUUUUUGUUUUCAUCCAAGAGUCAUAUUGGUGAACCAAUUUCAGCUCCAAUACUAGUUUGGAUUCCCCAAUUGCUUUUGUAGUUUGUUCUUGCUCUUCAAUUCUUCGGUAUUGCUUUGAUAUCACCUUC
This 423-nucleotide long non-coding RNA is filed under the name Physcomitrium patens. Its description in RNAcentral is "long non-coding RNA (PPAT_LNC007342)". The record is from RNAcentral. Lineage: Eukaryota; Viridiplantae; Streptophyta; Bryopsida; Funariales; Funariaceae.